GGCGGACGGGUGAGUAAUGUCUGGGAAACUGCCUGAUGGAGGGGGAUAACUACUGGAAACGGUAGCUAAUACCGCAUAACGUCGCAAGACCAAAGAGGGGGACCUUCGGGCCUCUUGCCAUCGGAUGUGCCCAGAUGGGAUUAGCUAGUAGGUGGGGUAACGGCUCACCUAGGCGACGAUCCCUAGCUGGUCUGAGAGGAUGACCAGCCACACUGGAACUGAGACACGGUCCAGACUCCUACGGGAGGCAGCAGUGGGGAAUAUUGCACAAUGGGCGCAAGCCUGAUGCAGCCAUGCCGCGUGUAUGAAGAAGGCCUUCGGGUUGUAAAGUACUUUCAGCGGGGAGGAAGGGAGUAAAGUUAAUACCUUUGCUCAUUGACGUUACCCGCAGAAGAAGCACCGGCUAACUCCGUGCCAGCAGCCGCGGUAAUACGGAGGGUGCAAGCGUUAAUCGGAAUUACUGGGCGUAAAGCGCACGCAGGCGGUUUGUUAAGUCAGAUGUGAAAUCCCCGGGCUCAACCUGGGAACUGCAUCUGAUACUGGCAAGCUUGAGUCUCGUAGAGGGGGGGUAGAAUUCCAGGUGUAGCGGUGAAAUGCGUAGAGAUCUGGAGGAAUACCGGUGGCGAAGGCGGCCCCCUGG
RNAcentral lists this ribosomal RNA (640 nucleotides) under uncultured bacterium. RNAcentral's name for it is "bacterial SSU rRNA". It matches the Rfam family "Bacterial small subunit ribosomal RNA", at positions 97 to 732 of the family's 1533-position model. The record is from RNAcentral.